UACGAAGGGUGCUAGCGUUGUUCGGAAUUACUGGGCGUAAAGCGCGCGUAGGCGGUUAUACAAGUCAGGGGUGAAAUCCCACAGCUCAACUGUGGAACUGCCUUUGAAACUGUAUAGCUGGAGUGUGUGAGGGGAUAGCGGAAUUGCUAAUGUAGAGGUGAAAUUCGUAGAUAUUAGCAGGAACACCGGUGGCGAAGGCGGCUAUCUGGCACACAACUGACGCUGAGGCGCGAAAGCGUGGGGAUCAAACAGG
Molecule: ribosomal RNA, 253 nt
Filed under: uncultured prokaryote
Description: partial 16S ribosomal RNA
Rfam family: Bacterial small subunit ribosomal RNA
Source: RNAcentral